RNAcentral lists this ribosomal RNA (254 nucleotides) under uncultured bacterium. RNAcentral describes it as "partial 16S ribosomal RNA". It matches the Rfam family "Bacterial small subunit ribosomal RNA", at positions 524 to 776 of the family's 1533-position model. The record is from RNAcentral.
UACGUAGGGGGCUAGCGUUGUCCGGAAUCAUUGGGCGUAAAGAGCGCGUAGGCGGCUAGAUAAGUCCGGUGUGAAAGUCACAGGCUCAACCUGUGAAUGCCGCUGGAAACUGUCUGGCUAGAGUCCGGAAGGGGCGAGUGGAAUUCCUGGUGUAGCGGUGAAAAUGCGCAGAUAUCAGGAGGAACACCAAUGGCGAAGGCAGCUCGCUGGGACGGUACUGACGCUGAGGCGCGAAAGCGUGGGGAGCAAACAGG